GCUAGGUGCUUGGCUCAGGGGUGUCCAGCCGGCCUGUCUGUCUCUUGGAUUCACACUGCCGCAGUUUCCAUCUCGGCUCUGCUGGCUAUUUGCUGGGUGACAUUGGACAGCCGGUUUUUGCUGUGUGGCCUUGGGUAGUGAGCUGCCCAUCGCUGGAGGUAUGCAAGCAG
Long non-coding RNA from Lemur catta (Ring-tailed lemur), 170 nucleotides. RefSeq lists it as uncharacterized. NCBI's taxonomy places the organism in Eukaryota, Metazoa, Chordata, Mammalia, Primates, Lemuridae. The record is from RefSeq and is a predicted model, not a curated record. The transcript has 3 exons.